UUGAUUUCAAACGGGGGAGAGGGGGGAUAUGUUGCUGACCCAUUUCUUUGGGUAAAAUGUGCACUCUCCCCCUCACCUCACCUUUUACAUCCACCUGUGCACCUUUUUUUUGUNGGCGGGGGAUUUUUUUCUCGAAUCCCCUGCUUAUGAUUUUUCAUGACACUCUAAUCCUAUAUAUUAUAUGAUGGUGGGUCUGACUUGAUUUUAACACUCGAGUCGGAAAAAAAAUGUAUA
RNAcentral lists this unclassified non-coding RNA (234 nucleotides) under Clavaria sp. ADM1311. Its description in RNAcentral is "internal transcribe spacer 1". Lineage: Eukaryota; Fungi; Basidiomycota; Agaricomycetes; Agaricales; Clavariaceae. The record is from RNAcentral.